Molecule: ribosomal RNA, 253 nt
Filed under: uncultured bacterium
Lineage: Bacteria
Description: partial 16S ribosomal RNA
Rfam family: Bacterial small subunit ribosomal RNA
Source: RNAcentral
UACAGAGGUCCCAAGCGUUGUUCGGAUUCAUUGGGCGUAAAGGGCGCGUAGGCGGCGGGGUAAGUCUGGUGUGAAAUCUCGGAGCUCAACUCCGAAAUUGCACUGGAUACUGCUCUGCUAGAGGGCUGGAGAGGAGAUCGGAAUUCACGGUGUAGCAGUGAAAUGCGUAGAGAUCGUAAGGAAGACCAGUGGCGAAGGCGGGUCUCUGGACAGUUCCUGACACUGAGGCACGAAGGCCAGGGGAGCAAACGGG